CAGGGAUUGCCUCAGUAACGGCGAGUGAAGCGGCAACAGCUCAAAUUUGAAAUCUGGCGGCCUCUGGGCCGUCCGAGUUGUAAUUUGAAGAGGAUGCUUUUGGCGAGGCGCCUUCCGAGUGCCCUGGAACGGGACGCCACAGAGGGUGAGAGCCCCGUAUGGUUGGACGCCGAGCCUCUGUAAAGCUCCUUCGACGAGUCGAGUAGUUUGGGAAUGCUGCUCAAAAUGGGAGGUAAACCCCUUCUAAAGCUAAAUACUGGCCAGAGACCGAUAGCGCACAAGUAGAGUGAUCGAAAGAUGAAAAGCACUUUGAAAAGAGAGUUAAAUAGCACGUGAAAUUGUUGAAAGGGAAGCGCUUGCGACCAGACUUGUGCCCGUCGAAUCAGCCGCCGCUCGCCGGCGGCGCACUUCGGCGGGCUCAGGCCAGCAUCAGUUCGCUGCAGGGGGAGAAAGGCGGCGGGAAUGUGGCUCUUCGGAGUGUUAUAGCCCGCCGCGCAAUACCCCUCGGCGGACUGAGGACCGCGCAUCUGCAAGGAUGCUGGCGUAAUGGUCGUCAGCGACCCGUCUUGAAACACGGACCAAGGAGUCGUCCUAAUAUGCGAGUGUUCGGGUGUAAAACCCCUGCGCGUAAUGAAAGUGAACGGAGGUGAGAGCUUCGGCGCAUCAUCGACCGAUCCUGAUGUUCUCGGAUGGAUUUGAGUAAGAGCAUAUUGGGCCGGACCCGAAAGAAGGUGAACUAUGCCUGUAUAGGGUAAAGCCAGAGGAAACUCUGGUGGAGGCUCGCAGCGGUUCUGACGUGCAAAUCGAUCGUCAAAUAUGGGCAUGGGGGCGAAAGA
RNAcentral lists this ribosomal RNA (836 nucleotides) under Scedosporium apiospermum. Its description in RNAcentral is "eukaryotic LSU rRNA". It matches the Rfam family "Eukaryotic large subunit ribosomal RNA", at positions 69 to 930 of the family's 3401-position model. Lineage: Eukaryota; Fungi; Ascomycota; Sordariomycetes; Microascales; Microascaceae. The record is from RNAcentral.